AUACGUAGGUGGCAAGCGUUAUCCGGAAUUAUUGGGCGUAAAGAGGGAGCAGGCGGCAGCAAGGGUCUGUGGUGAAAGCCUGAAGCUUAACUUCAGUAAGCCAUAGAAACCAGGCAGCUAGAGUGCAGGAGAGGAUCGUGGAAUUCCAUGUGUAGCGGUGAAAUGCGUAGAUAUAUGGAGGAACACCAGUGGCGAAGGCGACUAUCUGGCCGGCAACUGAGACUCACGCCCGAACGCGUGGGGAGCAAAUUGGAUUAGAUCCCCUAGUAGUCCACGCCGUAAACGAUGAGUACUAAGUGUUGGAUGUCAAAGUUCAGUGCUGCAGUUAACGCAAUAAGUACUCCGCCUGGGUAGUACGUUCGCAAGAAUGAAACUCAAAUGAAUUGACGGGG
This 392-nucleotide ribosomal RNA is filed under the name uncultured bacterium. Its description in RNAcentral is "partial 16S ribosomal RNA". It matches the Rfam family "Bacterial small subunit ribosomal RNA", at positions 523 to 918 of the family's 1533-position model. The record is from RNAcentral.